Molecule: ribosomal RNA, 452 nt
Filed under: uncultured bacterium
Lineage: Bacteria
Description: bacterial SSU rRNA
Rfam family: Bacterial small subunit ribosomal RNA
Source: RNAcentral
UUCGCAAUGCCCGAAAGGGUGACGAAGCGACGCCGCGUGUGGGAAGAAGGCCUUCGGGUUGUAAACCACUGUCGGGAGUUAGGAAAUGUAAGGGUGUUAAUAGUAUCCUUACUUGACUAAGGCUCCGGAGGAAGCCACGGCUAACUCUGUGCCAGCAGCCGCGGUAAUACAGAGGCGGCAAGCGUUGUUCGGAAUUAUUGGGCGUAAAGAGCACGUAGGCGGCUAUGUAAGUCGGUUGUGAAAGCCUUCCGCUCAACGGGAGAACAGCAUCCGAUACUGCAUGGCUUGAGUGCGGGAGGGGAGAGUGGAACUUCUGGUGGAGCGGUGAAAUGCGUAGAUAUCAGAAGGAACGCCGGCGGCGAAAGCGGCUCUCUGGCCCAUAACUGACGCUGAGUGUGCGAAAGCUAGGGGAGCAAACGGGAUUAGAUACCCCGGUAGUCCUAGCCGUAAAC